This 851-nucleotide long non-coding RNA is filed under the name Phoenix dactylifera (date palm). Its description in RNAcentral is "long non-coding RNA (PDAC_LNC012879)". The record is from RNAcentral. Lineage: Eukaryota; Viridiplantae; Streptophyta; Magnoliopsida; Arecales; Arecaceae.
CUCAUUUCAUGCAUUAAUCCCCCUUUCAUUUUUCCCUCUUUCUUUUUUUUCUUUUUCUUUUUUUUUUCGGUAAACAGGGGCUCCCCUGUUUCCCUAACAGGGGCUCCCCUGUUUCCCUCUCCUCUUUUCUCUUUUUGGAUAGCCGGCUCCUCUGUUUCACCCCAUGGGGCCUCCCUCCUCCCACAGCCGAGAGGGAUAUAUGGGGUCGAUCCCCUCCUCACAACGCGGUGGAGAUGGCCGGAUGAGGCUGUGGAUGCGGGAGAAUCGGACGCGGAAACCUUUCGCGGGAUGCUAGGGGAUCUGAUGCACGAGAUCAUCACGGACGGCUGGCUUGCAGACGCGGCAAGGAUCCGUCGCUGGGAGGUUACAUGGACACGGGAUGCUCCUCUCGUGCUGGCUUCCGAGUAUCCCGGGCGCUGAGGAGUAGAUCUGGAAACGGAAGAUGCUUCGCGGACGGCUGGGCUUGAGCACGAAUCCGGAAGACGAGCGGAUGGAUCGCGCUGAAGAUCGGACGCGUGGAGACGUGGAUCGCUCGCGGAGGGAUGCAGAGAUGCUGGGAAGCGCGGAUAGCUCGGAAGGAAGCUGGGAUGCGGACGUUGGAAUCGGGAGAUGCCGGGAUCUUCGGACGCGGUGAAGCUUGGGACGCGUGGGAGGAUGGACUCGGAAGCUUCACGGGAUGCUGGGGCUUGGGAGGAUGCGGACGGAUGAGACUUGGGAGGAGCAGACGGACGCGUGGGAUCGCACGAGAUUGUUGACGAAGAAGGCUGCCGCGGGAUGCUGGGCUGCGUGGACUGCUGAGAAGGGAAAAUGAAGCUGCGACGAAGUGGACCGCUGAACUUGACCUCCUUUUA